This 45-nucleotide non-coding RNA is filed under the name Schistosoma mattheei. The record is from RNAcentral. Lineage: Eukaryota; Metazoa; Platyhelminthes; Trematoda; Strigeidida; Schistosomatidae.
CUACAUCUGACGAGUCCCAAAUAGGAUGAAACACGCGUCCUGGAU